CCUACGGGGGGCUGCAGUAGGGAAUAUUGCUCAAUGGGGGAAACCCUGAUGCAGCAACGCCGCGUGGAGGAUGAAGGUUUUCGGAUUGUAAACUCCUGUUGUUAGAGAAGAUAAUGACGGUAUCUAACGAAUAAGCACCGGCUAACUCCGUGCCAGCAGCCGCGGUAAUACGGAGGGUGCAAGCGUUACUCGGAAUUACUGGGGGGAACGGGCGCGUAGGCGGGUUAGCAAGUCAGAUGUGAAAUCCCUUGGCUUAACCAUAGGACUGCAUUUGAAACUGUUAUACUAGAGUAUGGGAGAGGUAGGUGGAAUUCUUGGUGUAGGGGUAAAAUCCGUAGAUAUCAAGAGGAACACUCAUUGCGAAGGCGACCUGCUAGAACAUAACUGACGCUGAUGCGCGAAAGCGUGGGGAGCAAACAGGAUUAGAUACCCCUGUAGUC
This 440-nucleotide ribosomal RNA is filed under the name uncultured bacterium. RNAcentral describes it as "partial 16S ribosomal RNA". It matches the Rfam family "Bacterial small subunit ribosomal RNA", at positions 338 to 795 of the family's 1533-position model. The record is from RNAcentral.